Molecule: ribosomal RNA, 427 nt
Filed under: uncultured Ochrobactrum sp.
Lineage: Bacteria; Pseudomonadati; Pseudomonadota; Alphaproteobacteria; Hyphomicrobiales; Brucellaceae
Description: bacterial SSU rRNA
Rfam family: Bacterial small subunit ribosomal RNA
Source: RNAcentral
AAGCAACGCGCAGACCUUACCAGCCCUUGACAUACCGGUCGCGGACACAGAGAUGUGUCUUUCAGUUCGGCUGGACCGGAUACAGGUGCUGCAUGGCUGUCGUCAGCUCGUGUCGUGGGAUGUUGGGUUAAGUCCCGCAACGAGCGCAACCCUCGCCCUUAGUUGCCAGCAUUAGUUGGGCACUCUAAGGGGACUGCCGGUGAUAAGCCGAGAGGAAGGUGGGGAUGACGUCAAGUCCUCAUGGCCCUUACGGGCUGGGCUACACACGUGCUACAAUGGUGGUGACAGUGGGCAGCGAGCACGCGAGUGUGAGCUAAUCUCCAAAAGCCAUCUCAGUUCGGAUUGCACUCUGCAACUCGAGUGCAUGAAGUUGGAAUCGCUAGUAAUCGCGGAUCAGCAUGCCGCGGUGAAUACGUUCCCGGGCCUU